This 440-nucleotide ribosomal RNA is filed under the name uncultured bacterium. RNAcentral's name for it is "partial 16S ribosomal RNA". It matches the Rfam family "Bacterial small subunit ribosomal RNA", at positions 338 to 795 of the family's 1533-position model. The record is from RNAcentral.
CCUACGUGAGGCAGCAGUGGGGAAUAUUGCACAAUGGGGGAAACCCUGAUGCAGCGACGCCGCGUGAGUGAAGAAGUAUUUCGGUAUGUAAAGCUCUAUCAGCAGGGAAGAAAAUGACGGUACCUGAUUAAGAAGCCCCGGCUAACUACGUGCCAGCAGCCGCGGGAAUACGUAGGGGGCAAGCGUUAUCCGGAUUUACUGGGUGUAAAGGGGGCGUAGACGGCAGCACAAGUCUGGAGGGAAAUGCCGGGGCUUAACCCCGGAACUGCUUUGGAAAGUGUGCAGCUAGAGUGCAGGAGAGGUAAGUGGAAUUCCUAGUGUAGCAGUGAAAUGCGUAGAUAUUAGGAGGAACACCAGUGGCGAAGGCGGCUUACUGGACUGUAACUGACGUUGAGGCUCGAAAGCGUGGGGAGCAAACAGGAUUAGAUACCCCAGUAGUC